UGGUGAAGAUAGCCCAGGAAACAGUGCGGUUCGUUGGAGGAAGCUAGGAAGAAGGAGCCGAAAUGAUGUGGUGAAGCUAGAAAAGAGGAUUCCGGGAAGGUGGAGCCAGUUCGAGUUGGUGAUGAAGCUAGCUGGCGUCUUGGCUUGUCAACGCGGAGGAGGCGAGCAGGCAUUGCGUUGUGGAGAGAAUAGAUAGCGGCUCCUAGACCAGCAUGUCAAUGUGCAAGAAAGGCUGCAGGGAAAGCAUGUGGUGCGGUAACAUCCCGUGAGGUCGGCAACGCGGUGGUGGUUUCUGUAACUUGAGGAUGGUCUGUCUAGAAUCCUAAAGGCAGAUGACUCAAGGGAACCAGGAAA
RNAcentral lists this long non-coding RNA (354 nucleotides) under Rattus norvegicus (Norway rat). RNAcentral's name for it is "long non-coding RNA NONRATT003470". Lineage: Eukaryota; Metazoa; Chordata; Mammalia; Rodentia; Muridae. The record is from RNAcentral.